Long non-coding RNA from Zingiber officinale, 840 nucleotides. RefSeq lists it as uncharacterized. The transcript is spliced from 2 exons. The record is from RefSeq and is a predicted model, not a curated record. Lineage: Eukaryota; Viridiplantae; Streptophyta; Magnoliopsida; Zingiberales; Zingiberaceae.
UAUGUGAAACUUUGUGGGGCAGGCUGAAAAGGCGAAUUACCUUCUCGCUUGUGUGCAAACCCAUCGGAGAUCCGCGACCUACGAAAAAGGCGGCGAUGGGAGAGAAGUCCGAUUCGUCGCCAUUAGGGUUCCUACGGAGGCACUUUGAGGAGGUGAAAAAGCACUGGAAGAGCAGCCUCGCCUUCUCGGAUUUCUAGCUUAAAGACUUUGGUGGCGCAAUGAAUCUCUCCCCAAGCGGUCCGAUGCUGAUGUCGAGGAGUUUAUCGCCUCUGAUCCGAUUAAUGGCCCGCAGCUCACGCCGAAGUUAAGCUCCACAAGCUGCAGCUAUGGACUUCAGUUGGCCGGAGCCAGAACCGGCCACUGACUAUGUUGGCCGACGACCUCUUCUGACAACUGUGCGUCACAGCGACCUGCUGCAACGCCAGACGUACCUGCGCAGCUACCAGUUCACUGUGAGGGAGACCUUCAAGGGCAGGGUUCGCCGGAACUUGAAGGAGGCCAGCAAGGUAGGGAAGGCGAUCGUGGCGGAGAUCAUCGGCCGGGUAUUCGACGCUGGGUUGAAGUUGCACAAGAUGAAUCCGUUGAGGUGCUUCAGGCCCUGCCGCAAGAAGUUCUACUUGGAAGAUACGAACUUUCCUUGCUGAUGCUUUAAAUGAAUACAUCAAUAGUUGUCGAGUGCAUGCGUGCACUUGGUUCAUGUUUUAUGUUGUGUUUUAUUCUGGUGUUCGAAAAUUAACUGAUCUUAAUUAAGCCUCCGUUUCUUUAGUAUAAAUUAAAUAUUCUUGAGGAACAGAGGUUUUUGUUUGUAAGAAGUAGAUGGUCUUUCUUUGGUUCGGCUUA